RNAcentral lists this ribosomal RNA (253 nucleotides) under uncultured bacterium. RNAcentral's name for it is "partial 16S ribosomal RNA". It matches the Rfam family "Bacterial small subunit ribosomal RNA", at positions 524 to 776 of the family's 1533-position model. The record is from RNAcentral.
UACGGAGGGUGCAAGCGUUAUCCGGAAUCACUGGGUUUAAAGGGUGCGUAGGCGGCCUGAUAAGUCAGGGGUGAAAGUUCACGGCUUAACUGUGGAAUUGCCUUUGAUACUGUUGGGCUUGAAACGAUCUGAGCUCAGCGGAAUGUGACAUGCAGCGGUGAAAUGCAUAGAUAUGUCAUAGAACCUCAAUUGCGUAGGCAGCUGGCUAGACUUAGUAUGACGCUGAGGCACGCAAGCGUGGGUAGCGAACAGG